Molecule: ribosomal RNA, 432 nt
Filed under: Triticum aestivum (bread wheat)
Lineage: Eukaryota; Viridiplantae; Streptophyta; Magnoliopsida; Poales; Poaceae
Description: partial small subunit ribosomal RNA
Source: RNAcentral
AUGCUAUUCUCAGUUUCAUUAUUACUCUCUGCGUGUUCCACAUGUGGCACAUUGUCUGAAGUGUAUGAAUUUCCAUGUAACAUGAUGGAUCCUUCAUCUUCAGCUACCUAUAACAAGUGUUGUCAAAAAGUCCUACUUCCCAGGGAUUUGAAGAAGCUGGAUCAAUACUCGCUUCAUCUCCUUGUGUUAGUUGCGGGACCUGCAAACAUGGUAGAAGGAAUGCUUCGCCAUUCUGAGUUGCAUGCCCAUCUCAAGUUACAAAGGCAGGCAACAUAUAACCCUGCUCCUCCAGUGUGCAUUGGCAGCAAGAAAGAAAGUAGGUUUCUAGCGAGGAGUUUCUUCCACAAGUAUCAACUUGAGAUCUUUGAUGAUGCCAUGAGAAUUUCGUGUUCUCUUCCAAAAGUGUGUGAAGAAGAACAAAAAUGUCAAUAA